ACUAGGUUAUGCAAGUUGGCAAGUGAGAGCAAGGCAUAGAAGGCAUAUAGAAGGGCCCGUAAUGCAUCGGGCAACAAUACUGAUGCCAAUGAAGCCAAGGAGAGGGAACCAAAAAACAUCAUGGCAGUGCGGAGGAGAGCAACACAAGUAGGAGAGAGAUGAGAAGAAUGAAAGGUUAACUCAGUUCCGAAUGUCAAAACAAACGCCAGUAAGCUAGCAAAGAACAUCAUGGUGCUUAU
RNAcentral lists this long non-coding RNA (239 nucleotides) under Vitis vinifera (wine grape). RNAcentral's name for it is "long non-coding RNA (VVIN_LNC002892)". Lineage: Eukaryota; Viridiplantae; Streptophyta; Magnoliopsida; Vitales; Vitaceae. The record is from RNAcentral.